This is a non-coding RNA of Macrostomum lignano, 45 nucleotides long. NCBI's taxonomy places the organism in Eukaryota, Metazoa, Platyhelminthes, Macrostomidae. The record is from Rfam.
AAAACGGCCCUUUUGAGGGCCAUAUUGAUAAAAAUUAAGAUUUUA